GCAUCAGGGGUCAGCAGAAGUACCACAGAGAGUUCAAAAUCAUGUUUUUAAGAGGAAUUAACAUCCUCUUGCCUCAGCCUCCUGAGUAGGUGAGACUACAGGUGCCUGCCACAAUGCCCAGCUAUUUUUAGAGACGGGGUCUCACUCUGGCUCAGGCUGGUCUUGAACUCCUGAUCUGCCCGUCUUGGCCUCCCAGAGACCAAGAAUUACUUAAGCCCAAGGGUUUGGGCUGCUGGGAGUUAUGAUGCCAUGGCACUCUACUGAGAGUGACAAAAUAAGACUGUCUAAAAAAAAAAAAAGUUGAAGACUAUAGCCAGGUACUGAUUUUUCUAUUACAUCCUGGUAAUUUGGAUGUACUGGGUCAUUUAAAUAUCUUUGAAAUCAGCCUUUACGCAUUUUAAUGUAUUUCAGAAUUUCUCAGGUUUAAACUAAAGGGAUUCUAAUGUCUCUAUAUUUAAUCCUCAUUCAAUUGUAGCCUGUUUUGUUUGGACUGCAAAACCAAAAGAGUUGGAAUAGUUUAAAAGGCCAAUAAUAGAAGUUAGUGAAAACAACCCGGAAGUACAAGAGCAGAGAAUUAAUAAGAAACCACCUAAAUAUUCCAUGUAGGGGAAGUCAAAUUUUACUUCUACCCUUUUAGGGUUUUCUGGCUGGACCUGCAAUUAAUUCGACACAAGACAGAUCAACAGGAGAGAAUAUAAAUUCACUUGCCAUGCGUUUUACAUGGCCUGGGAUCCUUCACGAGGAAAUGAAGACCCAGAGGCGCAGUUUGCACUGAACACUUACGUACUCAGCUGGGCAAAGAGCAAAAGAGUUGUGAAAAUGUACCAAGGCAAAGGGGCCUGGGCAUGGAAGUUAGUUGGGUGGAGAAGUGACUAGGAAGCUAAAGGUGAGUUGAAUAAGGUUCAUUCCCACAGAUUCCUGUUGGCCUCAACGUCCUAUCCUUGAUGAUAAAAAUUCUUCCUUUCUGAUAUCCAGUUUUCUCAGCACUAUGUAAUGAAGUGACCAUUCUUUCUCUAUUGAAUUGUCUUAGCACUUUUGUGCUAAGGCCAAUUGACCAUAAAUAAGAGGGCUUAUUUUUUGACUCAAAAUUCUAAUUCAUUGAAUUAUCUUUAAGAUGGAAAUGUCUAUCCUUAUUCCAGUGUCACACUGUCUUAAUUUCUGUAUCAUUGUAAGUCUUAAAAUAUAGAAGUGAGAUACCUCUCAAAAAAAAAAAAAAAAAAAUUCUUCCUUUCUGGGAUAGGAAGCACAUCUUUCCAAUGGAAUGCUCACCUCCUUUUAAGCAAAAGAAGGAAGGUGAAAGUGUUUCUCUUGAAAGGCUGUUUUUCAAAUGCCUUUAAACUCAAAAUAGUCAACAUGCCAGAGCUGCCUGUUGUACGGUGUUGUGUUCUGAAUGCCUGCGCUCACAACUGUGGCUCGUGUGAGUGCGUUGCAGUAGAUUCUAAUAUAGUAUUCACUGUAUGAUGAAAUGUUAUAAAAAAAGUUUUAUGUAUACAGAGAUGGUAAUAAUGAUUGCCUUUGUGUCUAUAAUAUGGGUAUGCACAAUUUCUGAUUUAUGUGUAGUUCAGAGAAUACUGAAUUGGAAUUAAAAAAAUAUAUUGUUAAUGCACUCAUUUUGUUUACAGUUAUUUAUUCUUUCUUUUUCUCUUUUAUUUAUUUAUUUACUUAUUUUUUGAGACAGAGUCUCACUCUGUCACCCUAAGUGCCGUGGUGUCAUAGCUCAUAGCAAUGUCUUGAGCUCAAAUGACCCUCUUGCCCCACCCUUCCUAGUAGCGGAGUUAUUUAUUUUAUUGAUUGACAGAGUUGUUUAUUUUAUCGAUUGACAUCUAAAACAUUUGCAACCUUUAUCUAGAACAAUCAGCAGAAAGCAUAAAUAGCUAGCAGAAAAUGAAUUACAAAUGAAAAGCAGAUAGUACCAAAGUGAAGCAAGGCUAAAAACUCUAAAAUCAGCCAGGUGUUUUCCUGUGGUCUGGGGACUUCUGGAACAUCUCUGAGAGCCUUUCAUGAGUUUCCAAAGCCAGAGCUAUUAUCCUAUUAAGAUCUUAUUUGCCUCUGUCAUUCUCUCUCCCUCAGGAAUAAACAGGGGAAUUUUCUAGAAGCUACAGUGGUAUCAUGACAGAUUGAACACGGAAGCAGACAGGAGGAGCAACUCGCUUCCAGCAGCCCAAUGGUCAGACUGAAAGCUUUGCCGUCAUGGAUCUGACAUCCUGCUGGAACGAGGAAGACGGACAGUGAUCAAUAAAAAAAACAUAAACCCCCAAGGGGAUCUGCUUUUGAAGACAGAAGUGAUGAAAGCUAAAAAGAGAGGGACUGAUGACCUUGUAUCAUCAUCAUCAGAUGGAGUUUGAGGAUAAAAUCUACACGCUCUUCAAAGUAAACCUGUUUGUCCUACUUGUCCUGAAAUCCUCCUAGUAAAAUCUACUUUGAACAUUAUGAAAUGAGUUUUCUAUGAAAGUAAAAAGGUUCUGAGUGUUGCUUCAAAGUUAC
Nycticebus coucang (slow loris) is the source of this 2484-nucleotide long non-coding RNA. RefSeq lists it as uncharacterized. The record is from RefSeq and is a predicted model, not a curated record. The transcript is spliced from 3 exons. NCBI's taxonomy places the organism in Eukaryota, Metazoa, Chordata, Mammalia, Primates, Lorisidae.